CCUACGGGGGACAGCAGUGGGGAAUAUUGCACAAUGGGCGAAACCCUGAAGCAGCGACGCCGCGUGAGGGACGAAGUAAUUCGUUAUGUAAAACUCUAUCAGCAGGGAAGAAAAUGACGGUACCUGAGUCAGAAGCCCCGGCUAACUCCGUGCCAGCAGCCGCGGUACUACGUAGGGAGCAGGCGUUAUCCGGAUUUACUGGGUGUAAAGGGGGCGUAGACGGCAGUGCAGGUCUGGAGUGAAAGGCUGGGGCUCAACCCCCGAACUGCUCUGGAAACUGUACGGCUGGAGUGCAGGAGAGGUAAGUGGAAUUCCUAGUGUAGCGGUGAAAGGCGUAGAUAUUAGGAGGAACACCAGUGGCGAAGGCGGCUUACUGGACUGUAACUGACGUUGAGGCUCGAAAGCGUGGGGAGCAAACAGGAUUAGAUACCCUUGUAGUC
Molecule: ribosomal RNA, 440 nt
Filed under: uncultured bacterium
Lineage: Bacteria
Description: partial 16S ribosomal RNA
Rfam family: Bacterial small subunit ribosomal RNA
Source: RNAcentral